UUCCGGUUGAUCCCGCCGGAGGCUACCGCUAUUGGAGUUCGAUUAAGCCAUGCGAGUCGCGAGUCUUAGGGACUCGGCGUACCGCUCAGUAACACGUGGGUAACCUGCCCUAUGCUGGGGGAUAACCUCGGGAAACUGAGAAUAAUACCCCAUAGUUCACCACGCCUGGAACGGUGGGUGGACCAAAGCUCCGGCGGCAUAGGAUGGGCCUGCGGCGUAUCAGGUUGUAGGGGGUGUAAUGUACCCUCUAGCCCUCUACGCGUACGGGUGUUGAGAGACAUCGCCCGGAGAUGGAUUCUGAGACACGAAUCCAGACCCUACGGGGUGCAGCAGGCGCGAAAACUUGGCAAUGCGAGAAAUCGUGACCAGGGAACUCCAAGUGCAUCGGGUAAGACCGAUGCUUUUCUUGACUCUUCAAAGGUCUUGGAAUAAGGGGUGGGUAAGGACGGUGCCAGCCGCCGCGGUAAUACCGGCGCCCCAAGUGGUAGUCGCUUUUAUUGGGCCUAAAACGUCCGUAGCCGGUCUGGUACAUUCGUGGGUAAAUCAACCAGCUCAACUGGUUGAAUUCUGCGAGCACGGCCAGACUUGGGACCGGGAGAGGUGUGGGGUACUCUCAGGGUAGGGGUAAAAUCCUGUCAUCCUGAGAGGACCACCUGUUGCGAAGGCGCCACACUAGAACGGAUCCGACGGUCAGGGACGAAGCCUAGGGGCACGAACCGGAUUAGAUACCCGGGUAGUCCUAGGUGUAAACGCUGUGGACUUGAUGUUGGGGGCGCUCCGAGCGCACUCAGUGUCGAAGCGAAGGUGAUAAGUCCACUGCCUGGGGAGUACGGUCGCAAGGCUGAAACUUAAAGGAAUUGGCGGGGGAGCACCGCAACCUGAGGAUUGUGCGGUUUAAUUGGAGUCAACGCCGG
Molecule: ribosomal RNA, 914 nt
Filed under: uncultured marine archaeon
Lineage: Archaea
Description: bacterial SSU rRNA
Rfam family: Archaeal small subunit ribosomal RNA
Source: RNAcentral